UUUGAGUGGAACCUGAAGGAGUAGCUGCAAAAUAGAACAAAGUAUUAUGCCUCAAGUGAUUAUCGGAGAGUCUGUGGAAAGGUGACAGGAGAAGAACAAAGGUAAAGGACAGCAGUGGUGGAGACUCACUUGCCAGUUUGAUAGCUGGCUGGUUCUGGAAGAGAUGGCAUCCAUGGAAGAUGAGCGACUAUGGAGAAUAGAGGCACAAAAAGUCCAGGAGUCACUGGUGGGAAGGCUAGAUAGGCAAGCAGACAGAUAAUAUCUAUGCAUUGCCUCUACUAAGAGGUCUAGAUUCCUAAACUAGAAUUCAAUUUUUGAUGAUAGGAUACUGGACAGAGGAAAGAUCAUAGCAUGAAGUGUACUGUGUUUAGAGUUGGAAUUUUGUUUUACUUAAAGAGGAAAAAAAUAAACUGAAAUUCCUCUGGAA
Podarcis raffonei (Aeolian wall lizard) is the source of this 427-nucleotide long non-coding RNA. RefSeq lists it as uncharacterized. The transcript has 2 exons. NCBI's taxonomy places the organism in Eukaryota, Metazoa, Chordata, Lepidosauria, Squamata, Lacertidae. The record is from RefSeq and is a predicted model, not a curated record.